GUCCCCGCCCAGCCGGCCGCCAUUACGCGGGCAGCCUCUUCCUGAUCCCUACACGGGAAAAGGAAAUACACUGUAGGUGUGGUGUGGGGGAGGAGAAUUGAUGGUCUCUGAUAAGCGAAAGGGGAAAGGAAGGAAUUGAUUCAUGUCAAACUAUCUCUCUCUGCCCCCCUGAGCUUCACGCCCUCCGCCCGACUUUACUCACCUCUGGGCGGGCUUGCAGGAGGAAAACGGGACUACCCGCUGAGGAGCCAGAGAGGAGGAACUAGACCCAGUGCGGGUCCCCGCUACCCUUACCACACGGGGCCCAGAGCGCCGCUACUCUUAAUUCUAUCCCAUUCGGACCUGAGCCGUGUCCUCUUGCCCAUGUUAGACAUCAUUUCCUUCUCCCCUCCAGCAUUCUGGUUCUUUCCCAAACACAAGAUUGGUUUUCACCCUGCCUGAGACUCAAUUUCCGCAUCUCUAUAAUGGUGGUGGCAUUGACACGUAAUAGCAUCGCGUGUAUGAGAAAAAAGCCCCGCGCAAACAAGGGGAGGCAGGAGGAGCAAGUGCUGGAAUGAGAAAAAGAACCCUGGAAAACGGCCCUCGCAAUAUGCAGGAAUUCUCCGUAAGGAAAAAGGACCUUGAUUUGUAAGUGAAUUCGCAAUGCUUUUCCAUAUCAGUUUGGGAAGGAGGAUACAGAAGUUGUGUCAUGCUGACAGGUAAGAUUGUCUCUGGAAUAGAGACCUUUAUGGAUGGAUGAAUAAAUGCAGAAAUAGGGGUGCCUGGAUGGCUCAGUCAUUUGAGCAUCUGACUCUUGAUUUCAGGUCAUGACCUCAUGGUUCAUGAUUGAGCUUAUUGUGCAGAGCCUGCCUGGGAUUCUCUCCCUCUCUCUCUGCCCCUCCCCUGCUCGUGCGCGCUCUCUCAAAGUAAAUAAAAUAUUUAGAAGCUUUUCAAAAAAUAAAUGCAGAAAUAAAUAAAUGGGUGGAAAACAGAAUGCCUACAUAAGCCAAUGGUUCUGUGCAUCAGAAUCACCUGCAGGGCUUAUUAAAACACAGAUUUGUGGCCUCACCCCAGAGUUUCUCAUUCAGUCAUUCUGGGAGGGGUCUGAGACUUUUCAUUUCUAACAAGUUCCAGGUCAUGCUGCUGGUCCUGGAAGCACACUCUGAAAACCACUGGCAUAAGCCAUCAGUGGAGACCCCCUUAGGGUAUGAUUUUUGUGAUUGAAAACUUUCAGCCUGAUCCUGCCAAGUAGCUUACAGGUACAGUCUAAAAUGAAUCCCCUGGCUUGGUGCUCAGGAGGUCUAUCGGUGGGUUUCACACUUUACCUCCCAGCAAACUCUCCUUGGUAGUGUUACAGAAUUAGAUUUGAGAGUUACAGGGGUGUGUAUGUGUGCACAUCUGUGCUGCUUCCCUGACAGGUACUACUGUCCGUUUCCACACCUCUGACUGCUGACCUUCUCCAGGGUCUCUCUCUUUUCACUGCUUCCUUUGGCCUUGGGAAUUUUCUUAUCCAGCAAGAAGCAACAGACACCUUUGAUCUCAGGUCUCAGCCAAUUCUUUCCUGGCAUUUGGUGACAUCUAGUGGCUAACUGAAGAAUCUUCGCUCACACUUAUAGAACCUUCUGGAAAAUUAACUGAGCAGUCUGGAAAGCAAAAAUAUGUACUCGUGAACCCCCUGAGAAAGGCUUCCUGAAGGAGCUCAGGAGGGCAAGGUAAUGACUGGCUCAGUAGCACGAGUCAAAAUGAAUUUCUUGCUUUCUUAGCAACUGUUACAGAAAUUAGAAGUAUCAAAGAAUUCCCCUCUCACUGUAUCCUCAGUGUGAAUGAUUUUGUAGAAAUGAUACUCAAUAAAAAGUGUUCUUGAAUAAAAUUGUCAGGUUAUACCAAUUUGGUAUUUGCUUCCCAUCUCAGAGCAUUUCUCCGGACCCUAAGCUAUAAGCAGAGCAAGGGUAACAAUCCAUUUCCAGGCUAGUCACAAGAUCCACAAAAAGAUUUGUAGUUCAGGUGCAGCUGAUAGUGACCCGAGGGCAUCCAGGCCUGAAUGUCAUUGAGAGGUGUAAUUGUUAACAGCUACUACAUAUACAGAAAUGUAAGAAAGCCUCUGGUGUCACGGGCCUUUGAAGUCCUCAUAGGAGGUGCAAGAUGUUAUAAACAAUCAUAUGCAAUCUGUAUUUUAACAUAAAGUUUAAAUUACUUCUCAUAGGAAUGUAAGGGGAGACAAUCAGGAAUCAUGAAGGAAGCUGCUUCUUAAAGCUAUUUUAGGGCCUUUAGUAAUCAGAGAGCUGUGAUGGGUCACAAAAUGUGGCCACGAGACCAGCAGCAUCAGGAAAUUCUUAAGCACCACCCCAAUAUUACCAAAUUUCGAAAACUGUAAGAGUGAGGCCCAGUAAUCAAUGUAUUAACAAGCCCUGCAGAGGAUUCUCUGGUACAUGCUAAAGUUUGAGAACCAAUGGUUAAGAACAAGUUUUAAAUGCCCCGAAAAACCUUAAAGGUGUUUAGAGAUGCUAUUAAAUUCAUGGUGGAGACUGUGUUAUUUAAUAACAUAUACUUAAUUCUUUUUUAAAACAUAUAAAUUGGCCUUAGAUCUUCUAUAUGAUUAAACAAAAGGAAUGGGAUUUAUUUGCUUUCACUUCUUGGAUUUUGGAGAAUGCUGUCUUGAUAGAUUCCAGACAGAGUAGCUCCAUAGUCCUGUGGACAUGGAGGUGAGACAUUUAAAAACAAACAGAAAAAUACUCCACCCCAAAAGUAAUUAAAUAGAAAUUAAAAUAGCAAUGAGAGGGACACCUGGUUAAGCAUCCGACUUCAACUCAGGUCUUGAUCUCAGCUCAGGUCAUGAUCUCAAUUCAUGAGUUGGAACCCUGCAUCAGGCUCUCAGCUGUCAGUGCAGACCCUGCUUCACCUCAGUCUCCCUCUCUGUCCCUCCCCUGCUUGCACUCUCUCGAAAAUAAAACUUAAAAAAAUAAAAUAGCAAUGGGAUAUCAUUUUUCAACUAACAAAUUAGCCAAGUAACAAUAUGUAUCAUUGAGAAGUCUAUGGGGUGAGGGGGACAUACAGUCCUGGUACAAACAGAAAGUACCAUAAUCUUUCCGAUAAUGCAAAUCAAAAGCCUUAAAAAUGUUUGUACCUUUGACUCAGCAAUUCCACUUUUAGGAAUAUAUCCUAGAAAUAAAUAAUUUGUGAUAUAUACAACAAUGUAUGUAUAAAAUGCUAAUGCAAGUUUAUAAAAAUUUAAAAAUUAAAAACAAUUUAAAUUUCAAGUGCAGAAGACUUGAAUAAAAGAAAAUUUUCAUAUGAUAAAGCAUUAAGAAAAUCAAGCUGGGAGCACCCUGCUGGCUCAGUCAGAGGCCAUGUGACUCUUGAUGUUGGGGCCAAGAGUUCGAGUCCCACUUUGGGUAUAGAGACUACUUAAAUAAAUUUUCUUUAAAAAAAAUCAAGCUGUACAAGAUUAUUUUUCCAGUUUUUAAAAGGAAGAUUUAUUUAACAAGUUUCACUUAGUACAAUACAUCUAAUGGAAAUCACAAUACAAGGAAAGAUUUAAAUCAAAGCCUCAGAAUCUCAUACAAACGACAUGACCAAACUCCUAAAGUAUUGGUAUUACAUCUCAAAAUUGUCCCAGAUCUUAAAAAAAAAAAAAGUAAAAGUGUACAGUCACGUGCCUUACAGCAUAUUAAACCAAAAAGCUAGAAUUAACAAACAUGCCAAAUGUUUUCACUUUGAAUCGUAGACACAGCUCCUAUAUUUGAGUUUUACAGAAAAGCAUGUUUCUCAACAUGCAUCCAAAGUUUUCAGUGUAUUGUGGUAUAAGAGCAACAUUUAACAUAAGUGAAACUGCUUUAACCUAAAUACGCUUACUGCUUAGGUACACUCCUACAACAUAACUAACUUGAGGAAAGCUGAAAGUUGUUUUAACAGUUAUGGUCAAUACUGAACGCUGUUAUUACAUCCUAAGUGAAUGCUUCAGUGUUCAAAAUUACUGAGCUUGAAGUUUUAAAACCUUGACUUCCACUUUACAGUAAGCAUGAAUCACAAGCCUGUAAUGCGAAACUGUUAAACUUAAUUUUUGUUUUCUUCAAAAAAAGGAAAGAAAGAAAGAAAGAAAGAAAGAAAGAAAGAAAGAAAAAGAA
Acinonyx jubatus (cheetah) is the source of this 4103-nucleotide long non-coding RNA. RefSeq lists it as uncharacterized. The transcript has 2 exons. The record is from RefSeq and is a predicted model, not a curated record. Lineage: Eukaryota; Metazoa; Chordata; Mammalia; Carnivora; Felidae.